AGUGAACGCUGGCGGUAGGCCUAACACAUGCAAGUCGAACGGCAGCACAGUAAGAGCUUGCUCUUACGGGUGGCGAGUGGCGGACGGGUGAGGAAUACAUCGGAAUCUACUUUUUCGUGGGGGGUAACGUAGGGAAACUUACGCUAAUACCGCAUACGACCUACGGGUGAAAGCAGGGGACAUUCGGACCUUGCGCGAUUGAAUGAGCCGAUGUCGGAUUAGCUAGUUGGCGGGGUAAAGGCCCACCAAGGCGACGAUCCGUAGCUGGUCUGAGAGGAUGAUCAGCCACACUGGAACUGAGACACGGUCCAGACUCCUACGGGAGGCAGCAGUGGGGAAUAUUGGACAAUGGGCGCAAGCCUGAUCCAGCCAUACCGCGUGAGUGAAGAAGGCCUUCGGGUUGUAAAGCCCUUUUGUUGGGAAAGAAAAGCAGCAGGUUAAUACCCCGCUGUUCUGACGGUACCCAAAGAAUAAGCACCGGCUAACUUCGUG
This 492-nucleotide ribosomal RNA is filed under the name uncultured bacterium. RNAcentral describes it as "partial 16S ribosomal RNA". It matches the Rfam family "Bacterial small subunit ribosomal RNA", at positions 29 to 507 of the family's 1533-position model. The record is from RNAcentral.